UCCUAUAAUGCAGUCGAGCGAACUGAUUAGAAGCUUGCUUCUAUGACGUUAGCGGCGGACGGGUGAGUAACACGUGGGCAACCUGCCUGUAAGACUGGGAUAACUUCGGGAAACCGAAGCUAAUACCGGAUAGGAUCUUCUCCUUCAUGGGAGAUGAUUGAAAGAUGGUUUCGGCUAUCACUUACAGAUGGGCCCGCGGUGCAUUAGCUAGUUGGUGAGGUAACGGCUCACCAAGGCAACGAUGCAUAGCCGACCUGAGAGGGUGAUCGGCCACACUGGGACUGAGACACGGCCCAGACUCCUACGGGAGGCAGCAGUAGGGAAUCUUCCGCAAUGGACGAAAGUCUGACGGAGCAACGCCGCGUGAGUGAUGAAGGCUUUCGGGUCGUAAAACUCUGUUGUUAGGGAAGAACAAGUACGAGAGUAACUGCUCGUACCUUGACGGUACCUAACCAGAAAGCCACGGCUAACUACGUGCCAGCAGCCGCGGUAAUACGUAGGUGGCAAGCGUUAUCCGGAAUUAUUGGGCGUAAAGCGCGCGCAGGCGGUUUCUUAAGUCUGAUGUGAAAGCCCACGGCUCAACC
This 584-nucleotide ribosomal RNA is filed under the name Bacillus stercoris. Its description in RNAcentral is "bacterial SSU rRNA". It matches the Rfam family "Bacterial small subunit ribosomal RNA", at positions 49 to 614 of the family's 1533-position model. Lineage: Bacteria; Bacillati; Bacillota; Bacilli; Caryophanales; Bacillaceae. The record is from RNAcentral.